AUCAUUAUUGAAUAAACGUGAUAGGUUGUUGCUGGCUCUCCUCUACAAAGGGGAGGCAUGUGCACACUUGUCGUCUUUAUUUUUCCACCUGUGCACUUUUUGUAGACCCUAGAGAAAAGUUAUUGUCUGAUAUAAUCAGAUAGAUUGAGGACUGCUGUGUCUUUCAAAGAAGACCAGCUUUGCCUUGUGUAUCUAGGUUCUAUGUCACUCACAUACUCCUAUAAAUGUAAUAGAAUGUUGACCUGGGUCUUUGUACCUAUAAAGUUAUAUACAACUUUCAGCAACGGAUCUCUUGGCUCUCGCAUCGAUGAAGAACGCAGCGAAAUGCGAUAAGUAAUGUGAAUUGCAGAAUUCAGUGAAUCAUCGAAUCUUUGAACGCAUCUUGCGCUCCUUGGUAUUCCGAGGAGCAUGCCUGUUUGAGUGUCAUUAAAUUCUCAACUACAUUGAUUUUGUUGGUGUAGCUUGGAUUUGGGGGAGAUCAUACUUUUGUUCUUUGCAGGCUUUUGUAAAUGAAGUCAGCUCCCCUGAAAUUGAUUAGCGGUACCUCAGUAGAACCGUCUACAGGUGUGAUAAUUUAUCUACACCUUAGAUGUCUGCAUGAAAAGGUUAUGCUGCUUCUUAACCCUUGCUCCUUACUUGAAGAAGGAGGGAGCACUAAUGACAA
RNAcentral lists this ribosomal RNA (664 nucleotides) under Pseudosperma spurium. Its description in RNAcentral is "eukaryotic LSU rRNA". The stretch from base 273 to 426 matches the Rfam family "5.8S ribosomal RNA". Lineage: Eukaryota; Fungi; Basidiomycota; Agaricomycetes; Agaricales; Inocybaceae. The record is from RNAcentral.